GUCAGUUUUAAUACAGUGAAAAUUAAAUAAAAUAAUAAUUAUUUAAAAAAAAGUCUUCAAAUGGGAAAUAGCGUGGGUAUCGAUAUACAUCACGGGAUUAGGGGAAGAAGCAGAGCCAUCGGGGAAGGGAGGCAGACUGGCAGAGCAUUGGAUGAGGAAGGGAGCAGAGCAUUGAUAUAUACUAGUCACCUCCAGUCGCCGGCUUGCUGCCCCGCCAAGUACUCCUCCUCCUCCACUUCUUCUUCUUCUUAUUCUUCUUUUUCUUUGCUGCUUUCUUUUCUGUUCUUGGAAAUACUCUAUUUUCAUUUUACCCCAAUAUUGAUCACCGGAUUCAACUGAAUAUUUGAGAUUUUGUUUAGGACAUUGUGGA
RNAcentral lists this unclassified non-coding RNA (370 nucleotides) under Hevea brasiliensis (rubber tree). Lineage: Eukaryota; Viridiplantae; Streptophyta; Magnoliopsida; Malpighiales; Euphorbiaceae. The record is from RNAcentral.